RNAcentral lists this non-coding RNA (30 nucleotides) under Rattus norvegicus (Norway rat). The record is from RNAcentral. Lineage: Eukaryota; Metazoa; Chordata; Mammalia; Rodentia; Muridae.
UUCUUAUAUUGCAUUAUAGAAAAGAUAAGA